RNAcentral lists this ribosomal RNA (256 nucleotides) under uncultured bacterium. RNAcentral describes it as "partial 16S ribosomal RNA". It matches the Rfam family "Bacterial small subunit ribosomal RNA", at positions 524 to 776 of the family's 1533-position model. The record is from RNAcentral.
UACGUAGGGGUGCGAGCGUUGUCCGGAAUUAUUGGGCGUAAAGAGCUCGUAGGCGGCUUGUCACGUCGGGUGUGAAAGCCCCGGGGCUUAACCCCGGGUCUGGCAUUCGAUACGGGCUGGCUAGAGUGUGGUAGGGGAGAUCGGAAUUCCUGGUGUAGCGGUGAAAUGCGCAGAUAUCAGGAGGAACACCGGUGGCGAAGGCGGAUCUCUGGGCCAUUACUGACGCUGAGGAGCGAAAGCGUGGGGAGCGAACAGG